CCUGCGCCUGCCGGCGACCGGCGCACGGGUGAGUAACACGUAUGGAACCUGCCCGCCACAGGGGGAUAACUCGGGGAAACCCGGCCUAAUACCCCAUGCCGCCCGGACCGGGCAUCCGGUCCGGGCGAAAGGAGGAAUCCGGUGGCGGCUGGGCAUGCGGCGCAUUAGCUUGACGGCGGGGUAACGGCCCACCGUGGCGACGAUGCGUAGGGGUUCUGAGAGGAAGGCCCCCCACACUGGAACUGAGACACGGUCCAGACUCCUACGGGAGGCAGCAG
Molecule: ribosomal RNA, 278 nt
Filed under: uncultured bacterium
Lineage: Bacteria
Description: partial 16S ribosomal RNA
Rfam family: Bacterial small subunit ribosomal RNA
Source: RNAcentral